AUGUGCACAGCGUGCAGGUUUGUUACAUAUGUAUACAUGUGCCAUGUUGGUGUGCUGCACCCAUUAACUCGUCAUUUAGCAUUAGGUAUAUCUCCUAAUGCUAUCCCUCCCCCCUCCCCCCACCCCACAACAGUCCCCGGUGUGUGAUGUUCCCCUUCCUGUGUCCAUGUGUUCUCAUGGUUCAAUUCCCACCCAUGAGUGAGAACAUGCGGUGUGUGUUUUUUUGUCCUUGUGAUAGUUUGCUGAGAAUGAUGGUUUCCAGUUUCAUCCAUGUCCCUACAAAGGACAUGAACUCAUCAUUUUUUUUGGCUGCAUAGUAUUUCAUGGUGUAUAUGUGCCACAUAUUUUUAAUCCAGUCUAUCAUUGCUGGACAUUUGGGUUGGUUCCAAGUCUUUGCUAUUGUGAACAGUGCCGCAAUAAAUAUACGUGUGCAGGUGUCUUUAUAGCAGCAUGAUUUAUAAUCCUUUGGGUAUAUACCCAGUAAUGGGAUGGCUGGGUCAAAUGGUAUUUCUAGUUCCAGAUCCCUGAGGAAUCGCCACACUGACUUCCAUAAUGGUGGAACUAGUUGACAGUCCCACCAACAGUGUUAAAGUGUUCCUAUUUCUCCACAUCCUCUCCAGCACUUGUUGUUCCCUGACUUUUUAAUGAUCGCCAUUCUAACUGGUGUGAGAUGGUAUCUCAUUGUGGUUUUGAUUUGCAUUUCUCUGAUGGCCAGUGAUGUUGAGCAUUUUUUCAUGUGUUUUUUGGCUGCAUAAAUGUCUUCUUUUGAGAAGUGUCUGUUCAUAUCCUUUGCCCACUUUUUGAUGGGGUUGUUUGUUUUUUUCUUGUAAAUUUGUUUGAGUUCAUUGUAGUGCCUUUGAGGCACUCAGCAAUUUUUUUUUAAUGUCCCCAGGCUGGAGUGUAGUGGUGUAGUCAUAGCUCACUGCCACCUCAAACUCCCAAGCUCAAGCAAUCCUCCUGUCUCAGCCUCCCAAAUAGCUGAGACUACUGGCACAUGCUACCAUGCCUGGCUAAUUUUUAAAUUUUUUGUAGAAGUGGGGUCUCAUUCUGUUGCCCAGGCUGCUCUCAAACUCCCGACGUUAAACAAUCUUCCCACCUCAGUCUCUCAAAGUGCUGGGAUUACAUGCAUGAGCCACCAUGCCUGGCCUGAGGCAUUCAGCUUUUUAAAGUCAUUGAAGUCAUUCAGCUUUCUAAAGUGUCACAUAGCAGGUUGACAUAAGAACAGACCUCCAAAACCCUCCAGUGAUCCUGAACGUUGUCUCCUGCUGUGUGCUGUCACAUCUUAGCCUUAGCAUUCUGCCCUUGUUUUGAUUCUCCUGGCUCCUGCCCCUAGAUUCAUGUCACCUGGUCCUUUACCCUCACACUCAGCACAGCAUCAUUUUCCUCCUGUGACUUUAGACCUGCUUCACUUGAGAUAAUGUGGAUUUUCCUUCAUGCUGUGGUCUUUAGCUCCUUGCUUAACUAUCACACAAGCAGGUCCAUCAUGAAAAAAAUGAAACAAAACUGGAGAAGGAAAAGAGUGCAGACAAUCGGUUGUUAUUUACAUGGUGCCCCUUAGGGUCCUUCUUGGGUUUUAUUGCACCUUGCAGAAAAAGUUGUGCUUCUACUGUAGCAAACUGAGGUACUAUGCAUUGAUUUCACAGUCUACUUAGUUGAUUUCAUAAUUAGUUAAUUUCAUGUAUUUUUCUACUUUUCUAUCAGUCUGAAAAGUUAUAUGUUCCUUUCAUCUUCCACUCCUUUACCUCACUGAAACAAUAUGGCCUAGAACUUUCUGAUCAGUCAUUCUUCAGAUCAGAGCAUGGGGGAGCAAUGUGGGUGAUAAACACUCGGUAGUCGCUCAGGUAAUUAUCUCUAGUUCCUUUGGAGGGAUUAAAAAUUCAUUUCAGAGCUUCCUGUAUAUUUCUUAUAAUCAUAUUGAAUGAAUAUAAUUCUUAUGACAGUUGUAAGUGUAAUCAUUGUCAACUAAUACUUUUAUUGUCUACUUAAAGUCUUGAGUUUUUUUUUAAUUGCUAUGAUAAUUAUUAUAUGUAAUGUCUGGAUCCUACAGACCCUACCUCAACAAUUAUAAUUAAAAAUGCUAAAGUCUCGAGUAAGCAAAACCAGGAAAAUAGCCUUCACGUAGAUUUCGUAUCUUAGUACUUUGUAUUUCUGUCUGUCUGAGAGAACUACACAUUACUAAAAUAGAGGUAAAAAAUAUAAAAAAAGAAGUGACCAUACAAUUACAGAAGGUGGUAUUAAUAUCAGGGAGGAGGCCUGAUACAGUGAAGGCCAGAAAAAUUAAAGGUCAAGAAGAACCAUCUAAUAUAUCAUUUGGUCGAGUUUUGAGCAUAAUGGAAAUGGCUUAUCCUUUAAGAACUCUGAUUCUGUCCGAUUUUUGCUUUCAGUUGUUUCUGAGCUCUACCAUGUGCUCUUCCUCUGCCCUGAGUGUAGCUUAGUUAGGCUACAGAGAGUGUAGAAUAAGCUGUGACUGCAAACUAUGUGGUAAAUCUUUGACAGAAUCAGUCUUAAGCUUUUCUGUUAACUGUUUUUUAUAGGUGGUUAUGUUGUUGUUAAUCUGCAAUAAACAUUAUUCUUGACAUAGACAUAUGGGUUUUGCUUAUUUUAUAUAUGUGUGCAAAGUUAACUUCAGUUUCAUCCUCCCUCCUUUCCUCCCUCCCUUCCCCCUCCCCUCCCUCCCUCCCUUCCUCCCUCCCUCCCUUCCUCCCUCCCUUCCUACCUUCGUCCUUCCUUCCUUCCUUCCUUCCUCUCUUCCUUCCUUCUCCCAUUCUUCUUAUUUUUUCUCUUCUGCACAUUUUGCUGGAGAAUCUGUUCAUGUACCCUGCUUUCCCACAGUUGCUUUCAGACUUUUUUUUUUUUGAGACAGCGUCUCUCUCUUUCUCUCUCUGUUACCCAGACUCAAGUGCAGUGAUACUGUCUCAGCUCACUACAGCCUCAACCUCCUAAGCUCAAGUGAUCCUCCUACUUCAGCCUCCCAAGUAGCUGAGACUACAUGCACAUACCACCACACCUGGCUAAUUUUUAAAUUUUUUGUAGAGAUGAGGUCUCACUAUACUGCCUCAGCUGGUCUCGAACUCCUGGGCUCAAGGGAUCCUCCUGCCUCUGCCUCACAGUUGUGAGCCACUGUGCCUGGCCAUUUUCAGACUUUAGAAAAUGAUUUUCAUUUACUUUUUCCUGGGAAGGCUCUUGGGUACAAUGUUAUGUGUUAUUUAAAUCUAAACAGCAAACUGGCCAGCAUUGCCCCUUAGAGUUUCCUCUAUGGGGAGGUCAUGGAUCCCCUACUUGAACUCCUCUGUAGCAGGCACAGCAGCGAGUGCCUAAGGGUGCAGAGCUGGGGGCCCCAUGGCUUUCCUAGCUCCCUUUCUUGUUCCUAGUGUUUUAAAUUACACUUUUAUUCCAAGGAAGGGCCCUGAUUCCAACCACAUGAAGUAACUAUAUUGGAAAGCCCUGUGGACUCCAAAGCACUGUAAUUAAAGAGCAAGGGAUUCCUUUUCAGAUAAUUGAAAGGUGGUGGCAGAGACCCAGGAGUUAAAUACUUUUAGGCCAUGUUUGCAUGUAGAUUUUCCUCUUUAAACCUGUGCUUUUUGCCUGUGAACACUAUUUUCCUGGACAUCCAACAGCAAUUUUUGUAAGAGUUUGAAACAGUAGGUUUGCCUUCACCUGAGCACCUCUGCAGGCCAUUGACAGAUCCCA
Molecule: long non-coding RNA, 3690 nt
Filed under: Homo sapiens (human)
Lineage: Eukaryota; Metazoa; Chordata; Mammalia; Primates; Hominidae
Description: non-protein coding lnc-C6orf201-11:1
Source: RNAcentral